This 441-nucleotide ribosomal RNA is filed under the name uncultured Parcubacteria group bacterium. Its description in RNAcentral is "bacterial SSU rRNA". It matches the Rfam family "Bacterial small subunit ribosomal RNA", at positions 346 to 795 of the family's 1533-position model. The record is from RNAcentral.
GGGCAGCAGUCGAGAAUAUUUCGCAAUGGGCGAAAGCCUGACGAAGCGACACCGCGUGAAGGAAGACGGCCCUCGGGUUGUAAACUUCUUUUGACAGAGAACAAGCCGCAAGGUUGAGCGUAUCUGUAGAAUAAGGCGCUGCUAACUUCGUGCCAGCAGCAGCGGUAAUACGAAGGCGCCAAGUGUUAUCCGGAUUUAUUGGGCGUAAAGAGUUCAAAGGGGGUCAUGUUAGUCCGACGUUAAAGCUCGCAACUCAAUUGCGAAAGCGCGUUGGAAACGGCAUGACUUGAGGAAAUUAGAGGCAAGUAGAACGGCUGGUGUAGGGGUGAAAUCCGUUGAUAUCAGCCGGAAUACCAAAGGCGAAGGCAUCUUGCUGGGAUUUUCCUGACCCUGAAAGAACGAAAGCGUGGGUAGCGAAUGGGAUUAGAUACCCUGGUAGUC